This 468-nucleotide ribosomal RNA is filed under the name uncultured bacterium. RNAcentral describes it as "partial 16S ribosomal RNA". It matches the Rfam family "Bacterial small subunit ribosomal RNA", at positions 28 to 507 of the family's 1533-position model. The record is from RNAcentral.
GACGAACGCUGGCGGCGUGCUUAACACAUGCAAGUCGAACGGAAAGGCCCUGCUUUUGUGGGGUGCUCGAGUGGCGAACGGGUGAGUAACACGUGAGUAACCUGCCCUUGACUUUGGGAUAACUUCAGGAAACUGGGGCUAAUACCGGAUAGGAGCUCCUGCUGCAUGGUGGGGGUUGGAAAGUUUCGGCGGUUGGGGAUGGACUCGCGGCUUAUCAGCUUGUUGGUGGGGUAGUGGCUUACCAAGGCUUUGACGGGUAGCCGGCCUGAGAGGGUGACCGGGCACCUGGGGACUGAGAGACGGACCAGAGUCCUACGGGAGGCAGCAGUGGGGAAUAUUGCACAAUGGGCGGAAGUGUGAUGCAGCAACGCCGCGUGCGGGAUGACGGCCUUCGGGUUGUAAACCGCUUUCGCCUGUGACGAAGCGUGAGUGACGGUAAUGGGUAAAGAAGCACCGGCUAACUACGUG